RNAcentral lists this ribosomal RNA (253 nucleotides) under uncultured bacterium. RNAcentral describes it as "partial 16S ribosomal RNA". It matches the Rfam family "Bacterial small subunit ribosomal RNA", at positions 524 to 776 of the family's 1533-position model. The record is from RNAcentral.
UACAGAGGGGGCAAGCGUUAUUCGGAAUUAUUGGGCGUAAAGGGCGCGUAGGCGGCCAUUCAAGUGACGGGUGAAAGCCCUCGGCUUAACCGAGGAACUGCCUGUCAGACUGGGUGGCUCGAGACCGGGAGAGGUGAGUGGAAUUCCCAGUGUAGCGGUGAAAUGCGUAGAUAUUGGGAGGAACACCAGUGGCGAAGGCGGCUCACUGGACCGGUACUGACGCUGAGGUGCGAAAGCGUGGGGAGCAAACAGG